UACGUAGGGCGCGAGCGUUGUCCGGAAUUAUUGGGCGUAAAGAGCUCGUAGGCGGCUUGUCGCGUCGGAUGUGAAAGCCCGGGGCUUAACCCCGGGUCUGCAUUCGAUACGGGCAGGCUAGAGUUCGGUAGGGGAGAUCGGAAUUCCUGGUGUAGCGGUGAAAUGCGCAGAUAUCAGGAGGAACACCGGUGGCGAAGGCGGGUCUCUGGGCCGUAACUGACGCUGAGGAGCGAAAGCAUGGGGAGCGAACAGG
This 253-nucleotide ribosomal RNA is filed under the name uncultured bacterium. RNAcentral describes it as "partial 16S ribosomal RNA". It matches the Rfam family "Bacterial small subunit ribosomal RNA", at positions 524 to 776 of the family's 1533-position model. The record is from RNAcentral.